This 460-nucleotide ribosomal RNA is filed under the name uncultured bacterium. RNAcentral's name for it is "partial 16S ribosomal RNA". It matches the Rfam family "Bacterial small subunit ribosomal RNA", at positions 338 to 795 of the family's 1533-position model. The record is from RNAcentral.
CCUACGGGUGGCAGCAGUGAGGAAUAUUGGUCAAUGGACGAGAGUCUGAACCAGCCAAGUAGCGUGAAGGAUGACUGCCCUAUGGUUUGUAAACUUCUUUUAUAUGGGAAUAAAAUGUUCCACGUGUGGAAUUUUGUAUGUACCAUAUGAAUAAGGAUCGGCUAACUCCGUGCCAGCAGCCGCGGUAAUACGGAGGAUCCGAGCGUUAUCCGGAUUUAGUGGGUUUAAAGGGAGCGUAGGUGGAUUGUUAAGUCAGUUGUGAAAGUUUGCGGCUCAACCGUAAAAUUGCAGUUGAAACUGGCAGUCUAGAGUACAGUAGAGGUGGGUGGAAUUCGUGGUGUAGCGGUGAAAUGCUUAGAUAUCACGAAGAACUCCGAUUGCGAAGGCAGUUCACUGGACUGCAACUGACACUGAGGCACGAAAGUGUGGGGAUCAAACAGGAUUAGAUACCCGAGUAGUC